Molecule: ribosomal RNA, 119 nt
Filed under: Pteropus alecto (black flying fox)
Lineage: Eukaryota; Metazoa; Chordata; Mammalia; Chiroptera; Pteropodidae
Source: RNAcentral
AUUUACAGCCAUGCCACCUUGAACAAGCCCAAUCCCGUCUGAUCUCAGAAGCUAAGCAGGGUCAAGCCUGGUUAGUACUUGAAUGGGAGACCAUUUAGGAAGACCAGGUGCUGUAGAUG